Molecule: ribosomal RNA, 397 nt
Filed under: uncultured bacterium
Lineage: Bacteria
Description: partial 16S ribosomal RNA
Rfam family: Bacterial small subunit ribosomal RNA
Source: RNAcentral
AUACGUAGGUGGCAAGCGUUAUCCGGAUUUACUGGGUGUAAAGGGCGCGUAGGCGGGGGUGCAAGUCAGAUGUGAAAUCUAUGGGCUUAACUCAUAAACUGCAUUUGAAACUGUAUCUCUUGAGUGCUGGAGAGGUAGACGGAAUUCCUUGUGUAGCGGUGAAAUGCGUAGAUAUAAGGAAGAACACCAGUGGCGAAGGCGGUCUACUGGACAGUAACUGACGCUGAGGCGCGAAAGUGUGAGGAGCAAACAGGAUUAGAUACCCUGGUAGUCCACACUGUAAACGAUGAAAGCUAGGUGUAGGGGGUAUCGACCCCUUCUGUGCCGCAGUCAACACAAUAAGCAUUCCGCCUGGGGAGUACGGCCGCAAGGUUGAAACUCAAAGGAAUUGACGGGG